AGUUCAGUUCAGCGAGAUUCAGGAACAUGGAGAAUCGCACUCCUAACGCGAAGGUCGCAGGUUGGACUCCUGCCCGGGCCACCA
RNAcentral lists this transfer RNA (84 nucleotides) under Granulicella mallensis. RNAcentral's name for it is "tRNA-OTHER". The record is from RNAcentral. Lineage: Bacteria; Pseudomonadati; Acidobacteriota; Terriglobia; Terriglobales; Acidobacteriaceae.